GUUGUAUGGUUAAGUGACGAAGCGUAGACGGUGGAUGCCUAGGCAGUUGGAGGCGAUGAAGGACGUACUAACUUGCGAUAAGCCAUGAUAAGGCAGUAAGAGCCGCUUGAGUCAUGGAUUUCCGAAUGGGGCAACCCAGUGUGCUUGCACACUAUCCUUAAGUGAAUACAUAGCUUAAGGAAGCGAACCCGGAGAACUGAAACAUCUAAGUACCCGGAGGAAAAGAAAUCAACCGAGAUUUCCCUAGUAGCGGCGAGCGAACGGGAAGUAGCCCUUAAGCAAUCAUGGUGGUAGUGGAACGUGUUGGAAAGCACGACAAUAGAGGGUGAUAGUCCCGUACACGACGCCAACAUAAUUGUGAAAACGAGUAGGUCGGGACACGUGUUAUCUUGACUGAAUAUGGGGGGACCAUCCUCCAAGGCUAAAUACUCCCAACUGACCGAUAGUGAACCAGUACCGUGAGGGAAAGGCGAAAAGAACCCCGGCGAGGGGAGUGAAAUAGAACCUGAAACCGUCUACGUACAAGCAGUAGGAGCCUUCUUCGGAGGGUGACUGCGUACCUUUUGUAUAAUGGGUCAGCGACUUAUAUUUUGUAGCAAGGUUAACCGCAUAGGGGAGCCGUAGGGAAACCGAGUCUUAACUGGGCGCUUAGUUGCAAGGUAUAGACCCGAAACCGGGCGAUCUAGCCAUGGGCAGGUUGAAGAUUGAGUAACAUCAAUUGGAGGACCGAACUCACUAAUGUUGAAAAAUUAGGAGAUGACCUGUGGCUCGGAGUGAAAGGCUAAUCAAGCCCGGAGAUAGCUGGUUCUCCCCGAAAGCUAUUUAGGUAGCGCCUCGGACGAAUACCACUGGGGGUAGAGCACUGUUUGGGCUAGGGGGUCAUCCCGACUUACCAACCCCAUGCAAACUCCGAAUACCAGUGAGUACUAUCCGGGAGACACACGGCGGGUGCUAACGUCCGUCGUGGAGAGGGAAACAACCCAGACCGCCAGCUAAGGUCCCCAAGUCAUGGCUAAGUGGGAAACGAUGUGGGAAGGCUCAGACAGCUAGGAGGUUGGCUUAGAAGCAGCCAUCCUUUAAAGAAAGCGUAAUAGCUCACUAGUCGAGUCGGCCUGCGCGGAAGAUGUAACGGGGCUAAGCCAUGCACCGAAGCUGCGGCAGCAAACUUGUUUGCUGGGUAGGGGAGCGUUCUGUAAGCCGUUGAAGGUGUGUUGAGAAGCAUGCUGGAGGUAUCAGAAGUGCGAAUGCUGACAUGAGUAACGAUAAUGCGGGUGAAAAACCCGCACGCCGGAAGACCAAGGUUUCCUAUCCCAUGCUAAUCAGGGUAGGGUAAGUCGGCCCCUAAGGCGAGGCCGAGAGGCGUAGUCGAUGGGAAUCAGGUUAAUAUUCCUGAACCGGCAUGUACUGCGAUGGGGGGACGGAGAAGGCUAGGCAAGCCGGGUGUUGGUUAUCCCGGUGAAAGUAUGUAGGUUGGCGGCUUAGGAAAAUCCGGGCUGCUAAGACUGAGAUACGAGACGAGUACCUACGGGUGCGAAGUUGUUGAUGCCCUGCUUCCAGGAAAAGCCUCUAAGCUUCAGGUACAUGUUGACCGUACCCGAAACCGACACAGGUGGUCAGGUAGAGAAUACUAAGGCGCUUGAGAGAACUCGGGUGAAGGAACUAGGCAAAAUAGUACCGUAACUUCGGGAGAAGGUACGCCAGAGCUGGUAACUCCCCUGCGGGAGAAGCCGGAGCUGGCCGCAGUGACCAGGUGGCUGGGACUGUUUAUUAAAAACACAGCACUCUGCAAACUCGAAAGAGGACGUAUAGGGUGUGACACCUGCCCGGUGCCGGAAGGUUAAUUGAUGGGGUUAGCGUAAGCGAAGCUCUUGAUCGAAGCCCCGGUAAACGGCGGCCGUAACUAUAACGGUCCUAAGGUAGCGAAAUUCCUUGUCGGGUAAGUUCCGACCUGCACGAAUGGUGUAACCAUGGCCACGCUGUCUCCACCCGAGACUCAGUGAAAUUGAAAUCGCCGUGAAGAUGCGGUGUACCCGCGGCUAGACGGAAAGACCCCGUGAACCUUUACUACAGCUUGGCACUGAACAUUGAACCUCCAUGUGUAGGAUAGGUGGGAGGCUUAGAAGCGUUGGCGCUAGUUGACGUGGAGCCAUCCUUGAAAUACCACCCUUGUAUGUUUGAUGUUCUAACUUAGCUCCCUUAUCGGGAGUGAGGACAGUGCCUGGUGGGUAGUUUGACUGGGGCGGUCUCCUCCCAAAGCGUAACGGAGGAGCACGAAGGUUGGCUAAGUACGGUCGGACAUCGUACGGUUAGUGUAAUGGCACAAGCCAGCUUAACUGCGAGACAGACACGUCGAGCAGGUGCGAAAGCAGGUCAUAGUGAUCCGGUGGUUCUGAAUGGAAGGGCCAUCGCUCAACGGAUAAAAGGUACUCCGGGGAUAACAGGCUGAUACCGCCCAAGAGUUCAUAUCGACGGCGGUGUUUGGCACCUCGAUGUCGGCUCAUCACAUCCUGGGGCUGUAGUCGGUCCCAAGGGUAUGGCUGUUCGCCAUUUAAAGUGGUACGCGAGCUGGGUUUAGAACGUCGUGAGACAGUUCGGUCCCUAUCUGCCGUGGGCGUUUGAGAGUUGAGAGGGGUUGCUCCUAGUACGAGAGGACCGGAGUGAACGAACCUCUGGUGUUCGGGUUGUCACGCCAGUGGCACUGCCCGGUAGCUAUGUUCGGAAUCGAUAACCGCUGAAAGCAUCUAAGCGGGAAGCGAGCCUCAAGAUAAGCUCUCACUAGCACGUAAGUGCUCUGAAGGGUUGUUGAAGACGACAACGUUGAUAGGCGGGGUGUGGAAGCGUAGUAAUGCGUUGAGCUAACCCGUACUAAUUGCCCGUGAGGCUUAACCAUACAACACCGAAGGUGUUU
Molecule: ribosomal RNA, 2908 nt
Filed under: Pseudidiomarina insulisalsae
Lineage: Bacteria; Pseudomonadati; Pseudomonadota; Gammaproteobacteria; Alteromonadales; Idiomarinaceae
Description: Idiomarina insulisalsae 23S ribosomal RNA
Rfam family: Bacterial large subunit ribosomal RNA
Source: RNAcentral